AGUUUCCGGUUGAUCCUGCCGGACCCCACUGCUAUCGAGGUGGGACUAAGCCAUGCUAGUUGAGCGCACAGAACUAUGUCUGUGAGCGGCACACUGCUCAGUAACACGUAGCUAACCUACCCUUAGGACGUGGACAACCCCGAGAAAUUGGGGCUAAUCCGCGAUAGAUGUAUUGUCCUGGAAUGGUAUUUCGUCUAAAGGUAUCCCAUACAUGUUUGGUAUACGCCUAAGGAUGGGGCUGCGGCCGAUCAGGCAGUUGGUGAGGUAAUGGCUCACCAAACCUUUGACCGGUACGGGCCAUGAGAGUGGUAGCCCGGAGAUGGACACUGAGACAAGGGUCCAGGCCCUACGGGGCGCAGCAGGCGCGAAACCUCCUCAAUGCACUUACGUGCGAAGGGGCUACCUCGAGUGCCACCUGAUGAAGGUGGCUUUUCCUAGGUCUAAAAAGCCUUGGGAAUAAGAGGGGGGCAAGACUGGUGUCAGCCGCCGCGGUAACACCAGCCCCUCGAGUGGUGGGGAUGAUUAUUGGGCCUAAAGCGUCCGUAGCCUGCCGUAUAAGUUUCCCGUUAAAUCCAGCGUCUCAAGCGUUGGACUGCGGGAAAUACUGUACGGCUAGAGAGUGGGAGAGGUCAGCGGUAUUCUGGG
RNAcentral lists this ribosomal RNA (645 nucleotides) under uncultured archaeon. RNAcentral's name for it is "bacterial SSU rRNA". It matches the Rfam family "Archaeal small subunit ribosomal RNA", at positions 1 to 624 of the family's 1478-position model. The record is from RNAcentral.